Hemicordylus capensis (graceful crag lizard) is the source of this 1231-nucleotide long non-coding RNA. RefSeq lists it as uncharacterized. The transcript has 3 exons. NCBI's taxonomy places the organism in Eukaryota, Metazoa, Chordata, Lepidosauria, Squamata, Cordylidae. The record is from RefSeq and is a predicted model, not a curated record.
UGGUAUAAGCGCCACCUUGUUUCCCAUAAAUGGAAAGGGACUUUUUUCUCUUUAAAGAGAGCGAUAGGGUGAUCGGGUUGCAACAAGUACUGUGAAGUGCGGUGUUUGUAGCAUUUACAUUCUAAAUCAGGUUUUAAGAAACCCACUUCUAGAAUCUCUCCAUAAAUUGUUUUCCUUAGCUGCUUAAUUGAGGAGGAUCCUUUAAAUAGAUCCGGUUCAACCUUCCAUUUUUUAAGUGUGAAUAACAAAUCUCUCAAGUAGUCUGGGUGUUCUCUUUUUAAUACUUGUGUGAUAUUGCCAUUGAAAGAUCCUUUCCCCCACCAUGCUAUGCUCCAUGCUGACUUGUGCCAACACAGAGCGAAAAGCGAGACCCAGUUUUUUUGCAGGAGGUUGGACAUAUCAUGGACAUUCACGAAAAUCCAGUUUCCAAAAUUGUAGGACAUGAAUUCAGUUACAAAAUAGGGUUGCAGGGCAGGUAGGGCUAGGCCUCCCCGCUCAACCUCCUUAAAUGCUACCGCACGGGCCAAAGGGAAGGACGCUGUGUGACAUACUAGACGGAAGAUCUGGCUUUCAACUCUCCGAAGGAGAUCGAGCGGGGGAGGAUAGACUACCGCCAGGUUAUGCACCGGGGGUAUCAGAGCAAAUGGCAGAGGCCAUAGUCACACUCAGAGCCCGGCCCAGUGCAGGCCAUCAGUGACCACACCUUCUGGGACAGUCUAAAGAGGAUUGGGGGGCUCCCUGGGUGUGUGGUGGCCCUGGAAUUCGGCCCUGAAGUCCAGAGUUUGCAGAGCAACUGUGCAGAUCCUGGAGAGACAAAAUGGAGACUAACGCUGGAAGAACAAAGAGGGGAGGAGUCCAGCACUUUUAUCCAUGCCCCUAAAAAAACCCAGUGGUCACUAUGAGACAUUGAAGCUGAAAGCUGAUGCUGCUAGGGUCCUAGCUCCACAAUGAAUAGAGGUUCUCUGCCCAUCCUCCAUCUUCUUUCCCCAACAAUCCCCCUCCCCUACCUGAUCUUGUCGUCCUGAAGCGCCUUCCACUCCACCAGGAAGAAGAGAUAGCUGAGAAUGCAGCGGCAAUGUCAUUCCAACACCUGGUAAGUUGUGGGAGAACAAAAGAGAGAAUUUAAAAGAAAGUCUAAAAAUAUAUUUUUAAAAUGAGAGAAUCUUAACAUUGAUUUAACUUUUGUUAAAACCACUGCAUGUUGUCUUUGUACAGAAUUUAACAUGCAAAU